GGGUCAGUAGGUUGGUCGUGCCACCGGUACGUACUGGUCUCACUGAUUCCUCCUUCCUAAAUAACCGUAAUGCCAUUAAUUUGGUGUUGCGGGGAAACAGGACUGUUACUUUGAAAAAAUUAGAGUGUUUAAAGCAAGCUAACGCUUGAAUACAUUAGCAUGGAAUAAUGAAAUAGGACGAUCGAUCCUAUUUUGUUGGUUUCUAGGAUUGACGUA
Molecule: ribosomal RNA, 216 nt
Filed under: Glomeromycotina sp.
Lineage: Eukaryota; Fungi; Glomeromycota
Description: partial small subunit ribosomal RNA
Rfam family: Eukaryotic small subunit ribosomal RNA (bases 40-216)
Source: RNAcentral